Molecule: ribosomal RNA, 632 nt
Filed under: Escherichia coli
Lineage: Bacteria; Pseudomonadati; Pseudomonadota; Gammaproteobacteria; Enterobacterales; Enterobacteriaceae
Description: bacterial SSU rRNA
Rfam family: Bacterial small subunit ribosomal RNA
Source: RNAcentral
GUAACAGGGAAGAAGCUUGGCUUGCUUUGCUGACGAGUGGCGGACGGGUGAGUAAUGUCUGGGAAACUGCCUGAUGGAGGGGGAUAACUACUGGAAACGGUAGCUAAUACCGCAUAACGUCGCAAGACCAAAGAGGGGGACCUUCGGGCCUCUUGCCAUCGGAUGUGCCCAGAUGGGAUUAGCUAGUAGGUGGGGUAACGGCUCACCUAGGCGACGAUCCCUAGCUGGUCUGAGAGGAUGACCAGCCACACUGGAACUGAGACACGGUCCAGACUCCUACGGGAGGCAGCAGUGGGGAAUAUUGCACAAUGGGCGCAAGCCUGAUGCAGCCAUGCCGCGUGUAUGAAGAAGGCCUUCGGGUUGUAAAGUACUUUCAGCGGGGAGGAAGGGAGUAAAGUUAAUACCUUUGCUCAUUGACGUUACCCGCAGAAGAAGCACCGGCUAACUCCGUGCCAGCAGCCGCGGUAAUACGGAGGGUGCAAGCGUUAAUCGGAAUUACUGGGCGUAAAGCGCACGCAGGCGGUUUGUUAAGUCAGAUGUGAAAUCCCCGGGCUCAACCUGGGAACUGCAUCUGAUACUGGCAAGCUUGAGUCUCGUAGAGGGGGGUAGAAUUCCAGGUGUAGCGGUGAAAU